ACACCAGGCCCAUUCCCACAUAGCCCCCGACUCAGGAGGCACCAUUCUCCUUAGGGUCGGUGGGACUUCCCGGCUGAGCUGGGGAAGCUGACAGUCCGGAUUCAUCAGGGGCAGCACGUAGUGUGCUCCAACAGGGCCCCUGAGCAGGAUUGGAGGCGGUCGGAGAAGGACCAGUGGGAGCGGCUGGCAAAGAGCAGGUGGCAGCGGGCUGAGCUGGGCGGCCGUCUGUGGGCAGCGCUGGAGGCCCUGUCAGAGCAAGCCCCGGUGCUGCAGAGGAGGGAGAGCAAGCUGGGACUCGGCUGGGCCCUGAAGCGGAAACAGGCGGUGUGCUCCCUGGCCCGCCUGGAGGAGGAGAGAACCCAGGGACAGGCGGAGUGCAGGAGGCCAGACCAGGACAUAGAAGACAAUCCACGAGAGGUGCAGGAGGCACCAGUGCCCCUCAGGAAAGAGCUAGAGGCACAAGACUCACAUCCCAGGCUUCGUGAGGAGAUGGCGCAGUACUGGAAGGCACUCUGGCACCAGGUGGCAGUUGCCCUGGAAUUUCAAGAGGAGGAACUGCAGAGACUCCAGAGGCAGAGUGGGACCUGGCCUCCCCAGACCGGGAGCGGGAGAGGAUAUAUCCUCAGGGCCUGGAUGGGCUAUAUUCUCUGGUCAAGUCUGAGGACCUGCAGUGGACAACGUCAGUGAGAAGCAGGGCGAGGCUCUCGGAGGUGGGGCAGCAGCUGGAUAGGGUCUGGACGAAGCCACAUUGCAUCAACGUC
Molecule: long non-coding RNA, 761 nt
Organism: Sapajus apella (tufted capuchin)
Lineage: Eukaryota; Metazoa; Chordata; Mammalia; Primates; Cebidae
Exons: 6
Source: RefSeq, a predicted model, not a curated record